Molecule: ribosomal RNA, 465 nt
Filed under: uncultured bacterium
Lineage: Bacteria
Description: partial 16S ribosomal RNA
Rfam family: Bacterial small subunit ribosomal RNA
Source: RNAcentral
CUACGGGAUGCACCAGUGAGGAAUUUUGCGCAAUGGGGGGAACCCUGACGCAGCAACGCCGUGUGAGUGAAGAAGGCCUUUGGGUCGUAAAGCUCUGUCAACUGGGAAGAAGUUACUAUGCUUAAAUAGAGUGUAGUAUUGACGGUACCAGUGGAGGAAGCGUCGGCUAACUCCGUGCCAGCAGCCGCGGUAACACGGGGGACGCAAGCGUUAUUCGGAAUUAUUGGGCGUAAAGGGCGCGUAGGCGGUCUUGUCGGUCAGGUGUGAAAGCCCGGGGCUCAACCCCGGACGUGCACUUGAAACAGCAAGACUAGAGUACGGGAGAGGAAAGCGGAAUUCCUGGUGUAGAGGUGAAAUUCGUAGAUAUCAGGAGGAACACCGAUGGCGAAGGCAGCUUUCUGGACCGAAACUGACGCUGAGGCGCGAAGGCGUGGGUAGCGAACGGGAUUAGAUACCCCCGUAGUC